UACGAAGGGGGCUAGCGUUGCUCGGAAUCACUGGGCGUAAAGGGUGCGUAGGCGGGUCUUUAAGUCAGGGGUGAAAUCCUGGAGCUCAACUCCAGAACUGCCUUUGAUACUGAGGAUCUUGAGUUCGGGAGAGGUGAGUGGAACUGCGAGUGUAGAGGUGAAAUUCGUAGAUAUUCGCAAGAACACCAGUGGCGAAGGCGGCUCACUGGACCACAACUGACGCUGAGGUGCGAAAGCGUGGGGAGCAAACAGG
This 253-nucleotide ribosomal RNA is filed under the name uncultured bacterium. RNAcentral's name for it is "partial 16S ribosomal RNA". It matches the Rfam family "Bacterial small subunit ribosomal RNA", at positions 524 to 776 of the family's 1533-position model. The record is from RNAcentral.